Non-coding RNA from Oncorhynchus keta (chum salmon), 1190 nucleotides. Lineage: Eukaryota; Metazoa; Chordata; Actinopteri; Salmoniformes; Salmonidae. The record is from the annotation of a RefSeq genome assembly.
AGACCCAAGGUCUCCUCCCAUUUCAAUAGUCUGAUAUAACUGCCCUCCACAGACCAUCUCCCUCAGUCACGACGACCACUCCCAGUCUGUGCUUCUUUUACAGAAUUUUAGAUCCGUAACACAAUGAGAGUUCGAGAAUGUAUGUUCCUCCUGGCUCUCAUCUCAGUUGUUCAUGGGCAGUCACUCACCUCCUCUGAGUCAGUGGUGAAGAGACCUAGUGAGUUAGUAACACUGUCCUGUACUGUGUCUGGAUUCUCCAUGGGUAGCUACUGGAUGCACUGGAUCCGUCAGAAACCAGGGAAAGGACUUGAGUGGAUUGGAUUCAUUGACACUGGAACCACAGCUUAUUAUGCCCAGUCUCUCCAGGGCCAGUUCACCAUCACCAAAUACACCUCCAAAAACCAGCUGUACUUAGAGGUGAAAAGCCUGAAGACUGAAGACUCUGCUGUUUAUUAUUGUGCCAGAGACACAGUGACACAGGAGGCUGCAGCACCGUACAAAAACUGAUCAACACUGAUCACAGUAUGAGAGGCAAUGAAGCGCAUCUGUUGUUCAGACACACCCUCUAUGAGAGAGUAGAAGGACUCAAAAGUAAUGGAAAAAACACUGAUAUCAUUAUUAUCCCCAUAAAAUUAUUCACACACAUUACAAAAGUGAAAAGCACAUUAUUUACAUAAACUCAAAGUCAACUUUACAGAAUUUAGUUUAUAUUAGCAAUUACAUUUUGAAUAUUUGUUUCGGACAGAAUUCAAUUAAUGUGAUCAGCAAACAGAAAUAUACUGAAACUAAAAACAGUAAUGGAUCAAUUAUAGGUCCUCAUAGGAACUCCCCAUAGAUUCACAAGAGGGUUUAGCAGUAAGAUAUAUAUCGAAUUCAAUACAACUUGUAUUGUUCCACAUAGGGAAAUGGUCUUGUUUUGUGUUGUUCAGCACUAUAUAAAAUAUCAAACAUACAGUAUCUAGUCUGAACAUCCUGUAUGUAAAAUCUGAAAUUCAUCGAGCAGAAUAAUGGACAGGGAGGGGAGAUAAUGAAGAAAGGUAUUUAUGUUUUUAAAUUGAAUAAAUAUCUGUUUUCGACUUUGGCAUUAUGGGGUACUGUAUAUACUGUAGAUUGUUGAGGGGAAAAAAUAAUUGUAUAAUUUUUAGAAUAAGGCUGUAACGUAACAAAUUGUGGAAAAAGUAAACAUGCAA